CUGGGGAUGAAAUGGAUGCUCAAGAGGUCUUAAGCCUGCAGGGACGGCGCUGGGCGACGUUUCCGAAGGGUGUUUUAUUUUUUCCUAAUCCUAGAAAUAACGAAAACCCGCCACGUGGCUGAGCCUCUGUUGGCCACUAACCCGGGCGCUCUGGGAGGGGUUUCUCGGUCUGAAAGUUUCCAUUUAAUUGGGCCUCCUCCUCUUCAAAAAGAAACCGUCCUUUGCUGAUCGCUUCUUGGUACCGACGCCACGUGCGGAAUCUAAAUGAGCCUCUGGGAGAAGGAAAUUUAGAAGCCAUUUUCUUCAUGAAGCAGUUAAGGCGAUAACCGGGGAAAAGGAAGGAAGCUGCGCCCUCAGCCCGAACGCCAGGAGCCCCGAACACUGCCCAGUCAUUUCUAAAAGGCGCCUCUGGCCGUCGCUGGCCCGGGGAGCCAAGGACGGGGUGGGGUUUCCGAAGGGAGCCCGAGCCACCAGAGCGCAAGAUCCUCACGCGAAGGUGACUGCGGGGCUUCCUUUGCCUUUAGAACUGGGUCCCCCAAGGCCAAGAUUCCCCCGCGCAAGGAGCCCCGGCUGGGCCAGGGGGACCCCUCUCCCCCCCCCCCCCCCGCGCCGGAGGGCUGUUGGCGCGCCCCGGGUUCGCAGGGUGCGGCCGCCGACGUUUGCGCUUUUAAAUAAAAGCAAAGGAAGUUUGGGGCUUCGGCAGGUGGCAACCGCGCCCCGCGCUGCUUCGCCCGAACCUCGGUGCCGGCCGCCCUCUAGUGGAAGACGUGGGAAGGGAGCAGAGAGCGCCCAGGAGGGACCGAGGACGUCUGGGCGAGACUUGGAGCCGGCACUGAGGGAGAGGACCAGAAGCGGGGCGGGGGGUGAGCCGCUCCCUCGCUGGGCCCCGGCAGCGCACGCGCGCCGCCCCCCAUCGCCUCCUGGCUCUUCUCCGCGUGUUUGUAGCAGGAGUCCUCGCCUCUGAAAACGUGCCAGGGAGAAUCCCGAGGUUCUCCGUGUGCCGCUGAGAUCAGAAAGGAAAACUUCUAGUGUCUUAAAGGGAAACUCUCCCCCCUGGAAAUGUCGCGCUCCCUUUGAAAGAAUCCAUUUUUUUGGUCACCAAACUGUGUUUCCUCUACAGCCUGUCAUUUUAUACCUUUUGAUAUAACCGACUGACUUGUACUAUGUCGUUAAUAUGUAUCGUGUCGCUACAACGGGGAUGUCAUUUCUAAUUCCGACUGAAAUCAUUUUCCUGGUACUACUAACAAUAGCAAAGUGAAUUCCGUCUGUUCCGCUCCAUCUGUUCUUCCUUGCCAGGAGAAGGGGCCACGAAACAUUUGUCCUGAAUAAAUACUCGUCAGUCACAUCGUGGUGAUUUACGAAGGUUGGGGGAUUCCUAAUAAAUUACGAUCAGUCUCACCUAGAAUCACAUUUCUCUUUCAGUGUGAUUUUAGAUAAGCUCACACCAAAAAUAAAUGAAGGUGAGCGUGGGACCGGCGGAGCUCCAUCAUCCGUGUGCUUCUGCUGUGCAGAAAUAGUAGGAACAUUGAUAACCGAAAUGUUUACUAUUUAAUGAAAUUUGUUGUUAUUCGUUGUUUUAAAAUGAUUUGUUUUUCUUUUAAUAAAGAUUUAAAUAAGAA
Molecule: long non-coding RNA, 1619 nt
Organism: Sarcophilus harrisii (Tasmanian devil)
Lineage: Eukaryota; Metazoa; Chordata; Mammalia; Dasyuromorphia; Dasyuridae
Source: Ensembl